RNAcentral lists this long non-coding RNA (332 nucleotides) under Coturnix japonica (Japanese quail). Its description in RNAcentral is "lncRNA (ENSCJPG00005014403.1)". The record is from RNAcentral. Lineage: Eukaryota; Metazoa; Chordata; Aves; Galliformes; Phasianidae.
CCUCAUGCUAGCCACUUUACAUUGUUGUUUUGCUGGUGGUGGUCUAAAGAUUUCAUUUUUAUAGGCCCUCAAAGCCUAGGAAAAACUUGCUGCGCCACCGAACUAAAGAAGGUGCUGAGAAAACCCACAAGAUGUGCAGUUGCUGCCUGGCUUGAUUGGCCGUUUGUAGCUGUGUAAGAGCCUGCUUGAUGCUACCAUUGUGUGUAGGUGAGUGAAGCAUUGAUAAUUCUUUUAUGAAAGCAAUUCUGAAUGAAGGACUGAUAAGCUGAGUUUAUGAUUCUUACAUUCCAGGAUUGUUUUGUUGCUAGCACAUUAGAAAUUGUGACUAGUCA